This 2475-nucleotide long non-coding RNA is filed under the name Sus scrofa (pig). Its description in RNAcentral is "lncRNA (ENSSSCG00060049818.1)". The record is from RNAcentral. Lineage: Eukaryota; Metazoa; Chordata; Mammalia; Artiodactyla; Suidae.
AUCUCGGAGGCUUCUGAGAUGCAGCCACAGUUCCGCUGCCUGGAAUGAGGCAAAAGAUGCAAAAGGCUGCCCUGGGUCAGGCCGGGCCUCCUUCCCCCUCAUGUGGCUUCUCAAGUUCCGAAGUCACCUUGUGUGGGGGAAUCACCGCACCGAGAGGGACCUGGACAUGGAAGGACCUGGACCUGGAAAGACCAUUGGUGUGAAAGAGCAGAGACCUGGUCCUAGGCCAGGUUGUACUACUACGGACUGGCUUCCAAACCAUGGGUUUAUUCAUUAACCUCUUUGGAUCCUCAGUUCCCACAUCUGUGAAAUGGGAAGGCACCUGAUAGCUGAAGCUACAAAAAAGUCAAACUUACUAAAUAGUAUAAAGACAGGAGACAGCACCCAAAGCAGCCGAGACCUAGCCCACCCUGGCUGAAAGACGGUGACUCCUGUGCCGAAGCAGAGGCUGACAUGGGUGAACAGGACUGCCUGGGGCAGAGCUGUGACCGCUGGGAAACAGGUGUCUACAGCAGUGGGACCAAUGGUGGAGGCCCUGCUCCUGGAGUUCAGGAUUCUGGAGCUCCUGAUCCUCUGCAGGGGAUCCGAGGAGGUUCUGUGCUGUUUCCUUUGCCCAAGAAGCAAGACGCUGAGCUGGAGGAGGUCACGUGGGGCUUUGGUCCUGGGUCAGAGUACAGAGUCCUGCUGCGAGUCCGUCCUGGGAAAGCUCCCACCUGGGUCAGCCUCCAGGACAGGUACCAGCAGAGGGUCCAUGUGCCCAACAUGACGUCCCUGAAGAUUGAGAACCUGACCCCUGAGGACAGUGGGCUGUACCGGGCUCGAGUUAGCUUUACUGGAGGAGUAGAACUUACCAAGGUUUUCCACCUCACUGUCUAUGAGCCAGUGACCAUUCCCCAGAUCCUGGUCCACUCAUCAUCCAUCACACCAGGCUGGUGCAAUGUUACCAUGGAGUGCAGGACCUCAGGGGACACAGAGGACCUGAAGGUGACCUGGGAGGGCAAGGGCCUCCCCAGGGAGCUGGAGGAGAGAGUGACAUCAGGACCAACCCCCAAUUCGUGGACCCUGGCUGUGCACCUGCCCCAGAGCCAGCCCUACACCAACAUCACCUGUGUGGUCAGCAACGAAGUGGACCAGAAAACUGCCACCUUCAACCUUGGGGAAGUCUGUGUCCAUGGUUCACAUGGACAAGCCAAUGCUGUUGCCCUGCCAGGCAUCUUAGGGGCAGGGGCUACUGUGGCUACACUAUUACUGAUCCUUGGAAUUGGACUCUGCCUUUGGAAGAAGAAGAAGAAGAAGAAGAUGGAGACUGCAAGAGGAUUGCAGGAGGAGUCUAAGGACCGUGACGGUGGCAUCCAAUAUGUAGAGCUGAGCCAGCAGGAUUCUCGAGAGAGCACGGACCAGGGUGAUGGUGAACGACGUCUAAAUGAAAAGGAGUCUCUUAAUACUGUCUACAGUGAGGUCCAUAAGCCAGCAAGUGUGCCCAUGAAGAUAAUUUAAUUGGAGGAGGCAGAAGAAUUGACACUCCUAGGACACCUCCAUUCUGAAUUUGAUCCCUGCAGAUACCUGCCCCUACGAGUGCUGGUCCAGCACCAGCUGCCUCUGGUCUGCAUUCCUCUGACCUUUGUGCCCUCAACUCCCUGGGCUCACGUGGCCCUGUCACUUCCUCUGUCAACUCUAUAUGCUGCCUUCCACUCAGGUUCCUCACUCCAGAAGGACUAGUGCUCUUUCUCCGUCAUUGACUCUGCUCCUGAUUCCUCUCCUUCUGAAGUUUCCCUAGGAGGAUCUCCCUACCUGUGCAUGUGUUCAUCCCCACAGCCUCUGCGCUGUGGCUGGUGUGUAUCUUUCUGAGAACAGGAGCCUGGGCGUGGGGACUGUGUGGAGGUUUCGACUACACCAUAGAGGGAGUUAGGAACUUGGAGCUGGGUGUUGAGCUGAGUGUCCAUGGAGGUGGCCUGGAUGGAUGGGUAGGAGCCUACAAAAGACGGGCCUGAGGCGUCCUUUGUAUGGCAAAAGGUGUUGGAGGGACUGUCUAGUAUACAUCAUACAUGGGGGCCAGAGCCCUUGAUCCUGAUCACCCAUACUAACCUCAGCUUCAGCUCAUGGGCCUUAAAUCCAUCUCUCGUGGAAUGUGAAGAGGAAUUUGUAUUGUCUCUGGUCCUUCCAAGCCAACUCCUUUUCAGAGAAAGACCCCAGGAACCCAAUGUUGGGACUCUGUGUUCUUCCCUGUCUGGGCCAGGGGUUCUUGUCAUUAGAAUGGUCAUGCAGGGAGUUCCUGUUUUGCAGCAGUGGAAACAAGUGCUACUGGUAUCCAUGAGGAUGCAGGAUCCAGUAUUGCUGUGAGCUGUGGUGUAGGUCGCAGAUGCGGCUUGGAUCCCACAUUGCUGUGGCUAUGGUGUAGGCUGGCAGCUAUAGCUCUGAUUUGACCCUUAGCCUGGGAAUUUCCACCUCCAUGUGCUGUGGGUGUGGCCCUAAAAA